RNAcentral lists this ribosomal RNA (450 nucleotides) under uncultured bacterium. RNAcentral describes it as "bacterial SSU rRNA". It matches the Rfam family "Bacterial small subunit ribosomal RNA", at positions 354 to 796 of the family's 1533-position model. The record is from RNAcentral.
GUCGAGAAUCUUUCGCAAUGGGCGCAAGCCUGACGAAGCGACGCCGCGUGCAGGAUGAAGGUCUUCGGAUUGUAAACUGCUGUCUUUCGGGAUCAAGGAACCGCCGCUAACACCGGCGGGACUCGAUGGUACCGGAGGAGGAAGCCACGGCUAACUCUGUGCCAGCAGCCGCGGUAAUACAGAGGUGGCGAGCGUUGUUCGGAUUUACUGGGCGUAAAGGGUGCGUAGGCGGUCGUGUGUGUCGGAUGUGAAAUCCCACGGAUCAUCUGUGGAACGGCAUUCGAAACUGCAUGGCUUGAGUGCAGGAGAGGAGAGCGGAAUUCUUGGUGUAGCGGUGAAAUGCGUUGAUAUCAAGAGGAACGCCGGUGACGAAGGUGGCUCUCUGGACUGCUACUGACGCUGAGGCACGAAAGCUAGGGGAGCAAACAGGAUUAGAUACCCUAGUAGUCC